RNAcentral lists this ribosomal RNA (444 nucleotides) under uncultured bacterium. Its description in RNAcentral is "partial 16S ribosomal RNA". It matches the Rfam family "Bacterial small subunit ribosomal RNA", at positions 338 to 795 of the family's 1533-position model. The record is from RNAcentral.
CCUACGGGAGGCAGCAGUGGGGAAUAUUGGGCAAUGGAGGAAACUCUGACCCAGCAAUGCCGCGUGAAUGAAGAAGGUCUUCGGAUUGUAAAGUUCUUUAGUUAGGGAAGAAGUCAAUGACGGUACCUGCAUAAUAAGCUCCGGCUAAAUACGUGCCAGCAGCCGCGGUAAUUCGUAGGGAGCAAGCGUUGUUCGGAAUGACUGGGCGUAAAGGUUGCGUAGGCGGUUUUACAAGGUAGAAGGGAAAUUCCCAGGGCUUAACUCUGGUGUUGCUUCUAAAACUGUAAGACUUGAGUGCAGUAGAGGUGAGUGGAAUUCCUAGUGUAGCGGUGGAAUGCGUAGAUAUCAGGAGGAACACCAGAGGCGAAGGCGGCUAACUGGACUGCCACUGACGCUGAGGCACGAAAGUGUGGGGAGCAAACAGGAUUAGAUACCCGGGUAGUC